RNAcentral lists this ribosomal RNA (303 nucleotides) under uncultured bacterium. Its description in RNAcentral is "partial 16S ribosomal RNA". It matches the Rfam family "Bacterial small subunit ribosomal RNA", at positions 507 to 807 of the family's 1533-position model. The record is from RNAcentral.
AGCAGUCGCCGCGGGAACACGGAGGGUGCAAGCGUUAUCCGGAUUUAUUGGGUUUAAAGGGUCCGUAGGCGGACUUAUAAGUCAGUGGUGAAAGCCUGUCGCUUAACGAUAGAACUGCCAUUGAUACUGUAAGUCUUGAGUAUAUUUGAGGUAGCUGGAAUAAGUAGUGUAGCGGUGAAAUGCAUAGAUAUUACUUAGAACACCAAUUGCGAAGGCAGGUUACCAAGAUAUAACUGACGCUGAGGGACGAAAGCGUGGGUAGCGAACAGGAUUAGAUACCCCGGUAGUCCCUGUCUCUUAUAC